GGCGCAGGAGGGAGCCGGUCAGUUGUCUGCAAAACCUCCAUCCCCGGUUCAAAUCCGGGCGGCGCCUCCA
This 70-nucleotide transfer RNA is filed under the name Acidobacteriota bacterium. RNAcentral describes it as "Acidobacteria bacterium tRNA-Cys". Lineage: Bacteria; Pseudomonadati; Acidobacteriota. The record is from RNAcentral.